Long non-coding RNA from Drosophila mojavensis, 1377 nucleotides. RefSeq lists it as uncharacterized. The record is from RefSeq and is a predicted model, not a curated record. NCBI's taxonomy places the organism in Eukaryota, Metazoa, Arthropoda, Insecta, Diptera, Drosophilidae. The transcript is spliced from 2 exons.
UUUUAAUUAGUUCAACUUUAAUGUUAUUGAAAAUGGGAAAAUCGAAUUGGAAUAUAAUCAGCCUAUACUUUGGCAAAUAGCCGAGUCAACUUGCCUUCCCCCUCUUUCCCGCCCAGCGCUUUCAAUGACCAAAGAAAAUUGUCGCCCAAAUCGUAAAUAUUUAUCAGCCUCACGACUCAGAGGGUGCUACAUAGACAUACAUAUAUAAUAUGUACAUAAUAUACAUAUAAAUAUAUACAUACAUACAUAUUUAACUCACAGUGAGUGAGCGAGCGAGCGAGAGGGAGAGAGAUAGCAGAACAAAAGCAAUGCGCACUUUAAUAAAAAAAUCACUCAUACGUAAUUUCAAUGGAAUUUUUUUUUUCGUCGCAUCUGCGCCUGCUUGUCCUCUUUUUCAGUGUUUGUCUGCCUCUGCUGCUUCUGCUUCUGCUUCUCUUUCUCUUUUUCUGUUUCGGUUUCUGCCUCUUCUUGUUGUUAAUCAUCAACGCUUUGAUUUUGUUUUGUAUCUUUCCCUAUGCUUUAUCUACUGCUUCGCACUUGGAUUUCGUUUUACUCUGUUCAUUGUUGUUGUUUUUUUUUCGCUUUGCUUUACUUUUCUUUCUCUACUGCUUUGUGACUCUGUUUCUUAUUGUUGUUGUUGUUGUUGUUGUUGUUGUUGUUGUUGAGCAAGGGCACACUUUAAGCAUUCCAAAAUCAACAAUCAUCAAUUUGAUUUGACACCAGCAAUAUCAUCAUCAUUAUCGUCAUCAUCCUGCUCAUCAUCAUCACCAUUAUCAUCAUUAUUAUUAAUUAGAUAUACAUCCAGAAUGUGAAUAAUCAAACCGAAUUGAAAGAGCAAUUCAAAGAUUUCUAUAUAUCUGUAUCUAUAUCUAUAUCUCAAAAGCAAGCUGUCCCUUGCAAACAAGCGUAUGUUAAUAACGCACAUAAUCACGCCAAUAUGGAGGUACGGUGUACAAGUUUGGGGAGUCGCCGCAAAGAGUAACCGACAAAAGAUCCAGAUAAUGCAGAACAAGGCCUUGCGCCAAAUCACUGGAUGCCCCUGGUUCGUAAGAAACUCCUCCUUGCAUAGAGAUCUCAAAAUGGAUUCAGUGGAAGAGCAGAUCUCAUUUCAUUCAAGCCGGUAUAAUGAUCGCCUCAAGUCCCACGCCAACCGGCUGGCAAGAAAGCUGCCAAAUUCGAAACCCAUUCGUCGAUUAAAAAGACGACAGUUCGAAAACCUCAUCGCUAAUAGUAAUUAAUUUACUUAAAUAUAUAUGUUUAAAUUUAGUAGUAAACGUUAAACCUGUGAUGUAAAUUUUGUUUCAAGGAAGAUUAUAGGGCAAAAUGAUGCUCUGGCGCUUCCUACUAAUAAAAAAAAAAAAAAAAAAAAAAAAAAAA